This 66-nucleotide transfer RNA is filed under the name Antheraea pernyi (Chinese oak silkmoth). RNAcentral's name for it is "tRNA-Ala". It matches the Rfam family "tRNA". From Rfam's summary of the family: Transfer RNA (tRNA) molecules are approximately 80 nucleotides in length. Their secondary structure includes four short double-helical elements and three loops (D, anti-codon, and T loops). Lineage: Eukaryota; Metazoa; Arthropoda; Insecta; Lepidoptera; Saturniidae. The record is from RNAcentral.
AGGGUUAUAAUUUAUUUAAAAUAUUUGAUUUGCACUCAAAAAAUAUUGAAAUUUCAAUUUACCUUA